Molecule: ribosomal RNA, 253 nt
Filed under: uncultured bacterium
Lineage: Bacteria
Description: partial 16S ribosomal RNA
Rfam family: Bacterial small subunit ribosomal RNA
Source: RNAcentral
UACAGAGGGGGCAAGCGUUGUUCGGAAUUACUGGGCGUAAAGGGCGCGUAGGCGGCCUUCUAAGUCGAACGUGAAAUCCCUGGGCUCAACCCAGGAACUGCGUCCGAUACUGGAAGGCUUGAAUCCGGGAGAGGGAUGCGGAAUUCCAGGUGUAGCGGUGAAAUGCGUAGAUAUUGGGAGGAACACCGGUGGCGAAGGCGGCUACCUGGACCGGAUCUGACGCUGAUGCGCGAAAGCGUGGGGAGCAAACAGG